CCCUUAGAUGUUCUGGGCGGCCCGCGCACUACAAUGGCGUGUGCAGCGAGUGCCGAAGUAGAGUUUUCCGAGGUAUUCUUGCAAUGCUCGUUUUGAUGGGGAUAGACCCUUGCAACUGUUGGUUUUGAACGAGGAAUUCCUUGUAAGCAUGGUUUAUCAUCCGACGCUGAAUGCGUCCCUGCCCUUUGUACACACCGCCCGUCGCUACUGCCAACUGAGAUGGGUCCUGAAUUGUUAGGAACGCCCGUCAAGGGGCCUACCCGGUCCCUAGUGCGGUGACGAGAAUAACUGUAAAUGGCAUAUCUUGGAGGGAGUAAAAGUCGUAACA
This 328-nucleotide ribosomal RNA is filed under the name uncultured eukaryote. RNAcentral describes it as "partial 18S ribosomal RNA". It matches the Rfam family "Eukaryotic small subunit ribosomal RNA", at positions 1470 to 1796 of the family's 1831-position model. The record is from RNAcentral.